CGCACAGAAGACUUCAGGACUGCUGAUCUAAUUCUCCUUCUUCGAUCAACUCGGACCCUUCUGAUGUCAAAGAUGGACUAACGGAGGAUGUAAGUGAUGGAAGAAAAUCAAAGAAAACAUCUUUUCUCUGAUCUGAUUUCUAUCUCCUAGAAAUCCUAAAGGUAAGGGCCAGAACUCUCACCCAAGAGGAGACGGUCUUCUCUAAAAUCACACACCAACACCUUGGCUGCCCACCCC
This 237-nucleotide long non-coding RNA is filed under the name Elaeis guineensis (African oil palm). RNAcentral's name for it is "long non-coding RNA (EGUI_LNC072953)". The record is from RNAcentral. Lineage: Eukaryota; Viridiplantae; Streptophyta; Magnoliopsida; Arecales; Arecaceae.